This is a long non-coding RNA of Bactrocera dorsalis (oriental fruit fly), 675 nucleotides long. RefSeq lists it as uncharacterized. Lineage: Eukaryota; Metazoa; Arthropoda; Insecta; Diptera; Tephritidae. The transcript is spliced from 2 exons. The record is from RefSeq and is a predicted model, not a curated record.
CAUUAAUUUGCGCAAUGUUGCCAGUUGUGGUAUACUGUAUGUGAAGUCGUAUUAAAGAUUAAAUGAAGGAUGCCAUGUUGACAGACUUUUCUUUUAAAUAUUAAAAUUAAAUGAAAGCCGAGGACAUUAUAAAAGGAUGACCAUCAUGUAUGAUUCUUAUCUGCAAGGAGCCUAACACCCUCUUCCACUAAAUUAACAGUGACCACAUAAUCGAACUGGACGAAGGAGUACAAACUAGAUCUUAACAUCACAGGCGAUGGCAUGGAAUUUUCGGCUGUCUACCAUCCUAUGAUUUUAACUAUCUAUCGUUGAGCUCCUGCAUAGUGAGGCCUGCAUGCUUUCAGUUAAGGAACACAUUGUACUCCUAUGCAAGGAGUUUCCGCAGUCGUUUUAACAUAUCCAAUGAGUCUCCACUUAUUUAAUACUCCUCUCUCUAUGUGUCUCACCCCGAUGAAACAGCAUAUUCCCUGAGCCUCCCGUUAGGUGACUUGACAAUGACAAUCAACCAGAACCAUACCAGUUAAGAAGCGAUGAGAUAACCGCUACAGCAAACAUAAAAACAAGUUCAAACUAAAAUUAACAAAUUUUAUUGCACACAGACAAGAAGUACAUAUAUGUAUAUGUUAAAAAUUAAAUAAAUGUUUUUAAUAAAUAAAGCAAUAAUUGAAGUGCUAA